This 192-nucleotide small nuclear RNA is filed under the name Salmo salar (Atlantic salmon). RNAcentral describes it as "U2 spliceosomal RNA (ENSSSAG00000102615.1, ENSSSAG00020015444.1, ENSSSAG00020056940.1)". It matches the Rfam family "U2 spliceosomal RNA". From Rfam's summary of the family: U2 is a small nuclear RNA (snRNA) component of the spliceosome (involved in pre-mRNA splicing). Complementary binding between U2 snRNA (in an area lying towards the 5' end but 3' to hairpin I) and the branchpoint sequence (BPS) of the intron results the bulging out of an unpaired adenosine, on the BPS, which initiates a nucleophilic attack at the intronic 5' splice site, thus starting the first of two transesterification reactions that mediate splicing. Lineage: Eukaryota; Metazoa; Chordata; Actinopteri; Salmoniformes; Salmonidae. The record is from Rfam by way of RNAcentral.
CCCGUUUUCUCGGCCUUUUGGCUGAGAUCAAGUGUAGUAUCUGUUCUUAUCAGUUUAAUAUCUGAUAUGUCCCCCAUCGGGGGACUACAUAUUAAAUGGAUUUUUCGAACAGGGAGUCGGAAAUGGGGCUUGCUCCGUCCGCUCCACGCAUCGACCCGGUACUGCAGUACCUCCGGGAACGGUGCAACACUU